This is a small nucleolar RNA of Eupeodes corollae, 135 nucleotides long. RefSeq annotates it as small nucleolar RNA psi18S-841/snoR66. The transcript has a single exon. Lineage: Eukaryota; Metazoa; Arthropoda; Insecta; Diptera; Syrphidae. The record is from RefSeq and is a predicted model, not a curated record.
AGCAAGGGCACUCUGUGUUACAAGAAAAUUUUAGUAUUGUAAAACAAUUUGUAACCUUGCAAUACAAAAAUUCAAAAAUUUCAAAAUUUGUAUCCUGUUUCUUAAGGAAUCAAAUUGAAUAUAAUGAAACAUUUU